This is a small nucleolar RNA of Cynara cardunculus var. scolymus (artichoke), 91 nucleotides long. RefSeq annotates it as small nucleolar RNA U31b. The record is from RefSeq and is a predicted model, not a curated record. The transcript has a single exon. Lineage: Eukaryota; Viridiplantae; Streptophyta; Magnoliopsida; Asterales; Asteraceae.
GAAUAUGAUGAGAAAUCGUUGUCGCCCCAGUCUUAUGAGCUUCGUAUUAAUACGUUGUUCGGUGGUGAUAGACACAUUCAUAAUCUGAUUC